UACGGAGGAUCCAAGCGUUAUCCGGAUUUAUUGGGUUUAAAGGGUGCGUAGGCGGUUUGAUAAGUUAGAGGUGAAAUACCGGGGCUCAACUCCGGAACUGCCUCUAAUACUGUUGAACUAGAGAGUAGUUGCGGUAGGCGGAAUGUAUGGUGUAGCGGUGAAAUGCUUAGAGAUCAUACAGAACACCGAUUGCGAAGGCAGCUUACCAAACUAUAUCUGACGUUGAGGCACGAAAGCGUGGGGAGCAAACAGGAUUAGAAACCCUGGUCCGGCGACUGACU
Molecule: ribosomal RNA, 281 nt
Filed under: Alistipes finegoldii DSM 17242
Lineage: Bacteria; Pseudomonadati; Bacteroidota; Bacteroidia; Bacteroidales; Rikenellaceae
Description: partial 16S ribosomal RNA
Rfam family: Bacterial small subunit ribosomal RNA
Source: RNAcentral